UCGAACGGCAGCACGGGGGCAACCCUGGUUGGCGAGUGGCGAACGGGUGAGUAAUACAUCGGAACGUGUCCUGUAGUGGGGGAUAGCCCGGCGAAAGCCGGAUUAAUACCGCAUACGAUCUGCGGAUGAAAGCGGGGGAUCCUUCGGGACCUCGCGCUACAGGGGCGGCCGAUGGCAGAUUAGCUAGUUGGUGGGGUAAAGGCCUACCAAGGCGACGAUCUGUAGCUGGUCUGAGAGGACGACCAGCCACACUGGGACUGAGACACGGCCCAGACUCCUACGGGAGGCAGCAGUGGGGAAUUUUGGACAAUGGGCGAAAGCCUGAUCCAGCAAUGCCGCGUGUGUGAAGAAGGCCUUCGGGUUGUAAAGCACUUUUGUCCGGAAAGAAAACCUCGUGGUUAAUACCCGUGGGGGAUGACGGUACCGGAAGAAUAAGCACCGGCUAACUACGUGCCAGCAGCCGCGGUAAUACGUAGGGUGCAAGCGUUAAUCGGAAUUACUGGGCGUAAAGCGUGCGCAGGCGGUCCGCUAAGACAGAUGUGAAAUCCCCGGGCUUAACCUGGGAACUGCAUUUGUGACUGGCGGGCUAGAGUAUGGCAGAGGGGGGUAGAAUUCCACGUGUAGCAGUGAAAUGCGUAGAGAUGUGGAGGAAUACCGAUGGCGAA
Molecule: ribosomal RNA, 665 nt
Filed under: uncultured bacterium
Lineage: Bacteria
Description: bacterial SSU rRNA
Rfam family: Bacterial small subunit ribosomal RNA
Source: RNAcentral